GUUAAAUAGCACGGUGAAAAGGGUGGUUAGAAGAAAAAUUAAUUGGCUGUAGCUUUGGGCUAGUGGUAAAAAACUAAUCCCGCAAGAAACCCUUACCCCCAAAUUAAACAUUUGAAGCCACGAAAACUAAGACCUAAACCAGGAUUAGAUACCCUGUUAUACUUAGAAGUGAACAACCUUAAGCACCAGAGAACUACGAACCUAAAGUUUAAAACUCAAAGGACUUGGCGGUUUUCCAAACCUCCCUGGAGGAGCUUGCCAUUGAAUCGAUAACCCACGAAAUACCUCACCAACUUUUGUAACAACAGCUUGUAUACCAUCGUCGUAAGUCUACUUCUUGAGAAAGUUGACUUUAAGGGAGAGCCCUAGACGUCAGAUCAAGGUGCAGCCUAUAGGUUGGGAAUAGGUGAGCUACAAUGUUUGAACAAACCAGUGAAAGAAAGAGAUGAAAUGCUCCUCGGAAAUUGGAUUCAGCAGUAAGCCCCAUUAAGACAAUGGGA
RNAcentral lists this ribosomal RNA (500 nucleotides) under Strongylocentrotus pallidus (pale sea urchin). RNAcentral's name for it is "12S ribosomal RNA". It matches the Rfam family "Bacterial small subunit ribosomal RNA", at positions 545 to 1361 of the family's 1533-position model. The record is from RNAcentral. Lineage: Eukaryota; Metazoa; Echinodermata; Echinoidea; Camarodonta; Strongylocentrotidae.